This 496-nucleotide ribosomal RNA is filed under the name uncultured bacterium. RNAcentral's name for it is "partial 16S ribosomal RNA". It matches the Rfam family "Bacterial small subunit ribosomal RNA", at positions 28 to 507 of the family's 1533-position model. The record is from RNAcentral.
GAUGAACGCUGGCGGCGUGCCUAAUACAUGCAAGUCGAGCGAACGGACGAGAAGCUUGCUUCUCUGAUGUUAGCGGCGGACGGGUGAGUAACACGUGGAUAGCCUACCUAUAAGACUGGGAUAACUUCGGGAAACCGGAGCUAAUACCGGAUAAUAUUUUGAACCGCAUGGUUCAAAAGUGAAAGACGGUCUUGCUGUCACUUAUAGAUGGAUCCGCGCUGCAUUAGCUAGUUGGUAGGUAACGGCUUACCAAGGCAACGAUGCAUAGCCGACCUGAGAGGGUGAUCGGCCACACUGGAACUGAGACACGGUCCAGACUCCUACGGGAGGCAGCAGUAGGGAAUCUUCCGCAAUGGGCGAAAGCCUGACGGAGCAACGCCGCGUGAGUGAUGAAGGUCUUCGGAUCGUAAAACUCUGUUAUUAGGGAAGAACAUAUGUGUAAGUAACUGUGCACAUCUUGACGGUACCUAAUCAGAAAGCCACGGCUAACUACGUG